GAGCACCUGAACCUAUAUUUCGAGAAAAUGCAGCCCAUAUCCAAAGAUGUGGGUCAGUACCAUGGAGAAGAACCGAGUAUAUGGAAGUGUAUGCAGUUUUAUAAACAUCAUCAUCAUAAAUAUUUAUAAGAAAUAUGCAGGAUGUAUGAAAGACUCACAUAGCCCGAAGAAAAUCAUCAUAAUCAUGAGAGGAUAAAAUAAGUAUAAUAACACAUGUGAGUCAUCAUAUAAUUUGUCAAUCACUUUCAGUUCAUCAAGAAUAUCGAUUCUCAUAAUGUAAAUAUCAUUUAAAUCUUUCGAAAGAAUAACUUUUGCAAUUCCACUUCCAAAUCACUUAACCGUUCACCAUAGACACAAGGAAACACACACAUACUAGGAGAUCCUAUAACUGACAUAAACCAUGUAAGCUACAUGGAUUCCAACGUACAACCCAAGUUGGGGAGAGCCGUCCUAUCCUUCCCAUCGGAGUAGGACUAUCGAUAUUAAAUCCACACAAACUAGUGAUCACUCUAUAAAU
Molecule: long non-coding RNA, 517 nt
Filed under: Capsicum annuum
Lineage: Eukaryota; Viridiplantae; Streptophyta; Magnoliopsida; Solanales; Solanaceae
Description: long non-coding RNA (CANN_LNC001310)
Source: RNAcentral